AUGGAGUUAAAUGGUCCUCCAUUUGGUCAACCAACACCUUCAACACAAGUGCCCACACAAGAUGAUUUUGAUGAUAUAGACAAGCUCACAUUGCUUAGUCUUGAGUUCACUUGGAGUGCUGAAGAUGAUCCAAUGAGGCCGGUGAUACUAGAGGAAAUGAAGAAGAUCAAGAGUGGAAAAGAGCCAGUGGAAGAAGUAAGGAAGAUUGAGAAGAACAUCAACGCUGGCAGUACUAUCUCCUCCCUCCUUGAGCCGAGUGUUGCCGAGAUUCCCCUUGAUACAUGUGAGGUUCCAAUACCGUCACAUCCAGCUGAGCAAGAUAGUAAGAGUCCAGAGGAAGAAAGACCUCAGAUUGAAGAAGAAAUACUUGAAGACAAGGAACAAGAUGAUCCAGAGCUCGAACAACAAAGUGAUCAAGUUGAAGACUCAUCAUCUAUUACUCUUGAAGAAUUAUUUUCCUUAUGCUAG
This 468-nucleotide ribosomal RNA is filed under the name Triticum aestivum (bread wheat). Its description in RNAcentral is "partial small subunit ribosomal RNA". The record is from RNAcentral. Lineage: Eukaryota; Viridiplantae; Streptophyta; Magnoliopsida; Poales; Poaceae.